This 280-nucleotide ribosomal RNA is filed under the name uncultured bacterium. Its description in RNAcentral is "partial 16S ribosomal RNA". It matches the Rfam family "Bacterial small subunit ribosomal RNA", at positions 75 to 353 of the family's 1533-position model. The record is from RNAcentral.
CUUGCAAACUGGAGAUGGCGACCGGCGCACGGGUGAGUAACACGUAUCCAACCUGCCGAUAACUCGGGGAUAGCCUUUCGAAAGAAAGAUUAAUACCCGAUGGCCUAAUAGAACCGCAUGGUUUGAUUAUUAAAGAAUUUCGGUUAUCGAUGGGGAUGCGUUCCAUUAGGCAGUUGGUGGGGUAACGGCCCACCAAACCUUCGAUGGAUAGGGGUUCUGAGAGGAAGGUCCCCCACAUUGGAACUGAGACACGGUCCAAACUCCUACGGGAGGCAGCAUG